Molecule: long non-coding RNA, 1229 nt
Organism: Pygocentrus nattereri (red-bellied piranha)
Lineage: Eukaryota; Metazoa; Chordata; Actinopteri; Characiformes; Serrasalmidae
Source: Ensembl
UACAUUUAUGCCAAAUUUGUUUUUAGGCCAACUCAUAUUAAGAUCCUACAUCAAGGAACCCCCCCCCCCCAUCAUUUGAUUCCUGAGAGCAAGAACAGUUCAAUUCCAAAAUAUGAAAGUGCAGCAUGGCUACUGCAGGGACAUCAACUCACUUGCUGAGAUUUGUGACCAUUUUGCUCAUGAACGUUUGUGUGAUGGACUCACAAGGAUUGCCUGAACCUACAGAUGUCAUUGUACAGACUGAUGGAGAACUCAAAACAGAAAAACUAGAAUACACUAUAACUUUAUCAAUGACCAUAGAUACAACAUUUGACAACACACUCACGAACAAAAACAGUCAAAUGUACCAAAAAUACAGCAAAGACAUCACAAGUUCAGUUGACGGUGCUUACAGUGGCAAACUUUCUUCAUACAAAGCUCAUUCUGCGAAAGUUAUUCAGUUCAGGCCUGGCAGUGUGGUAGCAGACUUCACUAUUGCAUCAACAAGAAAUACACUUGAUUUUAGUGCUGCAAACAGACAAUUAGCUUCUGCUCUCAGAGACAAAGGAUAUAGCGUAAAUGAAAAUUCAUUCGCUCAAACUGUGGAAAACGGCUUAUAUGAUCCAAGCAAAGGCAACAUUUACCCUGGAAAAAAUAUGGUUUUGACCUGUAAUCCUCCAGCCUUAAGUACUGGAGGAAUAACCUGGAGUUUUAAUGAUAUUAUCAUUGGAAGUAGUCCUGCCUAUCUAAUCAGCGCUGACAGAAAAACAAUCACUGUGGAAAACACCAGUGAUCGGCUCAGUGGUAAAUACGCAUGUACAACGACCUUAAACUCAGUUCCCUACAUAAUCUGGCAAAGGAUAGUAAUUCAGCCAUUGCCCAAUAUCAGAGUGACCACCUCAAAAACUGUGUACUGUGAUGGAUCACCAAUCACACUGGAGUGCUGCGCUGAGAACAGCUACAUGACUAAGUGGAGCCUGUUCACUUCAUCUGGACUGCAGACGCUAACAGACCCAAAGACAGGCUGCAGCUCAUAUCCGUACCCAGGUUUCAGUGAAGCGGACUGUAAGGAUGGAGACCAAAUUGUGACUUUCCUUUGGGAAAUCUAUGACCUCAAUGAAAACCUUAGCAGUUCAAACAACGUCAGAAUUGCUGCAACUGGAAAAAGGUGGGACUGCUACAAUGCACAAUAUGGAGCUGGAGAAUUAGGUGACCUACAGACGAGCCCUUGUGAUGCGGAUAGCAUUGGC